GAUGAAGAACGUAGCGAAAUGCGAUAAGUAAUGUGAAUUGCAGAAUUCAGUGAAUCAUCGAAUCUUUGAACGCAUCUUGCGCUCCUUGGUAUUCCUUGGAGCAUGCCUGUUUGAGUAUCAUGAGCAAAUCUCAAAGUCAAUUCCUUUUGUUGAUUCAAUUGGUUUUGCUUUGGACUUGGAGGCCUUGCAGAUUUCACAGUCUGCUCCUCUUAAAUGCAUUAGCUGGAUCUCAGUAAUUAUGCUUGGUUCCACUCGGCGUGAUAAGUAUCACUCGCUGAGGACACUGUUAAAAAGGUGGCCAGGAAAAUACUGAUUGAACCGCUUCUAACGGUCUAUUAAGUUAGACAAUUACCCUUAAGUUUGAUCUCAAAUCAGGUAGGACUACCCGCUGAACUUAAGCAUAUCAAUAAGCGGAGA
Molecule: unclassified non-coding RNA, 417 nt
Filed under: soil metagenome
Description: partial contains 5.8S ribosomal RNA, internal transcribed spacer 2, and large subunit ribosomal RNA
Rfam family: 5.8S ribosomal RNA (bases 1-120)
Source: RNAcentral